Molecule: long non-coding RNA, 345 nt
Filed under: Nicotiana benthamiana
Lineage: Eukaryota; Viridiplantae; Streptophyta; Magnoliopsida; Solanales; Solanaceae
Description: long non-coding RNA (NBEN_LNC011209)
Source: RNAcentral
AGAGAUAGGGUACAUUCUGCUGCUACAAAAGUUGUGGAUGCUGGGCAGACCAAUAUCAAUCUCGGAUACAGUGCACCUGGACUAAGGUGGCAAGGAAGAAAUGCUAUAACACAAAGGCAACAUCAACAACAGUUGAGGAGAAGACAAACUGAAGCAAGCCUAAGCCAACCUCAAGUCCAUUCUUCAUCUCAGCCAAGCCAGACUCCAUCUCAUCAAAACCUCAACCAAUCUCAGCCUUAAAGCUAAAUGAAUGUUUGUUUUUGAGGUAACGUGCACCUGGACUAAGGUGGCAAGGAAGAAAUGCUAUAACACAAAGGCAACUUCAACAACAGUUGAGGAGAAGAC